RNAcentral lists this ribosomal RNA (409 nucleotides) under Fusobacteriota bacterium. RNAcentral describes it as "Fusobacteria bacterium partial 16S ribosomal RNA". It matches the Rfam family "Bacterial small subunit ribosomal RNA", at positions 355 to 776 of the family's 1533-position model. Lineage: Bacteria; Fusobacteriati; Fusobacteriota. The record is from RNAcentral.
UGGGGAAUAUUGCACAAUGGAGGGAACUCUGAUGCAGCAACGCCGCGUGCGGGAUGACGGCCUUCGGGUUGUAAACCGCUUUCAGCCAUGACGAAGCUUUUGUGACGGUAGUGGUAGAAGAAGCACCGGCUAACUACGUGCCAGCAGCCGCGGUGAUACGUAGGGUGCGAGCGUUGUCCGGAAUUAUUGGGCGUAAAGAGCUUGUAGGCGGUUUGUCGCGUCGAAAGUGUAAACUCAGUGCUUAACGCUGAGCCUGCUUUCGAUACGGGCUGACUAGAGGAGGGUAGGGGAGAAUGGAAUUCCCGGUGGAGCGGUGGAAUGCGCAGAUAUCGGGAGGAACACCAGUGGCGAAGGCGGUUCUCUGGACCUUUCCUGACGCUGAGAAGCGAAAGCGUGGGCAGCAAACAGG